Parus major (Great Tit) is the source of this 517-nucleotide long non-coding RNA. RefSeq lists it as uncharacterized. The record is from RefSeq and is a predicted model, not a curated record. NCBI's taxonomy places the organism in Eukaryota, Metazoa, Chordata, Aves, Passeriformes, Paridae. The transcript has 2 exons.
ACUGCUGCAGAGAGAGAGAGAAAACAGCUCCUUCAGCUGGGGAAACACCUCCCACCCACCCCAGAGCUCCACCUCAGGGACCUGGGACCUUCUCACACCUCCAUGGAUAAAUGGUCAGGCUCAAAGCAGAGACUUGUCCUCUUUCCAGGGAGAAGAUAAAUAUUUCUGUGGUGUAUCUCACCUGGAGGUGUCUGACAGCAUUCUGCUCUGCCUUUUCCAUUGUGCAGCACAUGAGCUCCAACCUCAAGACUCCUGGUCAGAAAACUCACAGGCAUCUUUCCUACAAUCCCCAAACAAAGGAUUUUUUACAAUAUCUGUAUCCAGAAGAGAACUUCCUGAUGGUGGUCAGCCCUGCUGAAUUAUGAUUCACAAAACUAAACUUAAUGGAGUUGUUUAAUCUUGCAUUAAAAUCCUGCUUGUGCACACAAAGUUCAAAUUGUUUUACGCAAUUAAGAGCACAUACACAGUGCAACAAAUAAAAUAAAUCCUAUUAAAGAUUUGCUCCUUUUUAAGUGAA